Mustela putorius furo (domestic ferret) is the source of this 2003-nucleotide long non-coding RNA. The record is from Ensembl. Lineage: Eukaryota; Metazoa; Chordata; Mammalia; Carnivora; Mustelidae.
GGGGAAAUGGACAUGGGUGAACUCAGAAAAUUUACUGAUGUUUGAUUUACAGGUGAAGCAAGGGAAGAGCAGUAAAAUGUGAUCCAGAGACAGAACGAGAACAGACAUUUGCUGAUGCAGUUCCAACGAGAGAGAGAGAGAACGCAAGCAAGUACAAGCAGGGGGAGCAGCCAGCGGAGAGAGAAGAAGACUUCCCACUAAGGAAGGAGCUGGAUGCGGACAUCAGUCUCAGACUCCGGAAUCAUAACCUGAUGUAUAACCAACUGAGAUGUAUAACCAACUGAGCCACCCAGGCGUCCCUAAGCCAAAGUUCUUUUAAGUGCAGUCUUAUAUAUGUAUGAUUGCAUGCAAUUUGUAAACCAAUUUUUAAAAUGAAUUUGAUAAGAAAUAAUUUGGGACUUCUUUUCAAAAAGAAUUUUCUUUUCAACGCCUAUUUAUAGUCAUCUCUCUAAGCAAGCUCUCCAAAAGCAAUCCCUUUCUCUAGAAACAAGACCUCUUCGUUACCUGAUCUUACCUGUGAGAUCCCACCCAUUUGAUGCCCUGUAAAUUUUUACAUUAAAGGUAUUACUUUCCCUGCUGCCUGAAAAGGAAACAUCUACCUCCAAAAAUAACAAUGCUCCAAAUAUAGAAUGGCAGCAUCCAUAAGCUAUUGAAAUAUUUAAUCAGAGGAUGAUAAAAAUACUUACUUGAAGCUAUUUGUUGCCUUGAAAAAUCCGUCACUUUCUUCCUUUUAACACAACCUCCUUUCCAAUAUACCUACUGUCAAUGUGAAUUUAGAGAUAAAGCAGAUCACUCCUCCCCUCACACCUGCUUUACUGAAAUAUAAUUGGACAGAUAACUAGGUGAAAGUUUAAGAUGUAUAUAUGUGGUGAUUUGAUAUACAUAUAUAUUGUGAAAUGAUUACCAUACUAGAGUUAGUUAUCUUUAUCAUCUCGCACAAUUACUAUUUUUGUAUGUGUGGUGAGAACAUUUAAGAUCUACUCUCUUAGUAACUUUCAGGUAUACAGUACAGUCUUACUUCUGUCUUCAUUGAGCUAGACAUUAGGUCCCAAGAACUUACUCAUCCUAUAACUGAAAGUUUGAACCCACUGACCAACAUCUCCACAUUUCCCCUUUCUCCCAGUAUCAGAAUAUAAGAAGUAGCAAAACCCUAACUGGCAUUCUUCUUUUUCUUUAAAAAAAAAAAACUUUUAGGGCAGUGUGGGGUUAACUGAGAAGGAGGUAUAGAGAUUUCUCAUAUAUCCUUUGUCCCCCCAACUGGCAUUUUUAAGAACAGAACUUUGGUGUUUUUACAACAUAGCUCUUUAUAUUGAAUUUUAAAAUAUCACCUUGGACCAUACAGUUUUAGCAACUAGACAUAUCAUAAAAAGGGAUAUAUUAAACUGUAAGAAAUUAAUUGAGUUACCUGAAAGACCUUAUAUUUUUGUUUAUAAACCAAGAAAUGGAGUUAGAAAGGAGAAUUGAAGAGCUGUAAGUUACUGGUUUAGUAAGUGGAUCAAUAUCAAAAAUGAUCUUGAACUGCUUAAUUUGUCUAUGCAUUACUUUGUCCUUGAUCAGGAUAAGACCAUAAAUAUAAGAGAAGGAAAGAAACUCCUGGCUUAACAAGUCUGUUCAGUUUGACUGAUAACAUUUAUUUCAUGCUCCCUAAAACUUCUUUCUCUGAGCUUGGAGUGGAAAAAUGCUUACCAUAAAAAAAGUUUUAUUACCUUAAUUUCUAAGUUAGUGAAAUGAUGAAGGCAUGUCCUUCUGAUGUCAGAAAUGUAAGAUGUAAGAUCAUAAUUGUACCCAUAGACUGAGAAAGAUUAGAGCAGAAUAAAGGGAGAGCCUGACUGCUCAUUUCAGAAGAAAGCUAGGAGACUCACUCUAGAAGUGGCCAACAAUGACUUUUCAGGAAUAAUUAUAAACCUGGUUCAUAAAUAACUAUUCUGGGGCAAUAAAUAGCAUCAGUGUUAGAAAUCAAUGCCUUGGUGCCAGUUCAUAACAACAUGCUCUCAGUUCCAAAC